GACGAACGCUGGCGGCGUGCUUAACACAUGCAAGUCGAACGGAAAGGCCCUGCUUUUGUGGGGUGCUCGAGUGGCGAACGGGUGAGUAACACGUGAGUAACCUGCCCUUGACUUUGGGAUAACUUCAGGAAACUGGGGCUAAUACCGGAUAGGAGCUCCUGCUGCAUGGUGGGGGUUGGAAAGUUUCGGCGGUUGGGGAUGGACUCGCGGCUUAUCAGCUUGUUGGUGGGGUAGUGGCUUACCAAGGCUUUGACGGGUAGCCGGCCUGAGAGGGUGACCGGCGACAUUGGGACUGAGAUACGGCCCAGACUCCUACGGGAGGCAGCAGUGGGGAAUAUUGCACAAUGGGCGGAAGCCUGAUGCAGCAACGCCGCGUGCGGGAUGACGGCCUUCGGGUUGUAAACCGCUUUAGCAUGUGACGAAGCGUGAGUGACGGUAAUGGGUAAAGAAGCACCGGCUAACUACGUG
RNAcentral lists this ribosomal RNA (468 nucleotides) under uncultured bacterium. RNAcentral describes it as "partial 16S ribosomal RNA". It matches the Rfam family "Bacterial small subunit ribosomal RNA", at positions 28 to 507 of the family's 1533-position model. The record is from RNAcentral.